GUGCAGAUGAUGGAAACUUUAUUUAAACUGAUUUCAAUGAUGUUUUCAAAGGAACCACUGAUGCAC
Molecule: small nucleolar RNA, 66 nt
Organism: Protopterus annectens (West African lungfish)
Lineage: Eukaryota; Metazoa; Chordata; Ceratodontiformes; Protopteridae
Product: small nucleolar RNA SNORD42
Exons: 1
Source: RefSeq, a predicted model, not a curated record